This 312-nucleotide ribosomal RNA is filed under the name Triticum aestivum (bread wheat). RNAcentral's name for it is "partial small subunit ribosomal RNA". Lineage: Eukaryota; Viridiplantae; Streptophyta; Magnoliopsida; Poales; Poaceae. The record is from RNAcentral.
AUGACGACCCUUUAUGAGUCUUUCCUUAAGGGCCCGGAAACGAUCAUGACCCUGACAAGUGAUCAUGACUACCCGAAGAUCCUGAUGGACAUGAUGAAGCAUAUUCACCUUGAAGGAGAUGCAGUCUACAAAGGCUACCCCUUCAUGCAAAAGGGAGUGGAACUUUGGUAUGUGGAGGUACACCUCCACCGUAUGAAAGGAGUUUGCCCAAAGAAGAUGGGGCAGUACUUUUUCAUCUCACGUGUACCACAAGCAACUUUCUUCGACGCUGUUUGUGAAGCAGCCAUGGAAGCCAUAUGCCAUAUCGGAUAA